UACGGAGGAUCCGAGCGUUAUCCGGAUUUAUUGGGUUUAAAGGGUGCGCAGGCGGGGGAUUAAGUCGGCGGUGAAAUUUUGCAGCUCAACUGUAAAAGUGCCUUCGAAACUGGUUUCCUUGAGUGUAGAUGAAGUAGGCGGAAUUUGUGGUGUAGCGGUGAAAUGCAUAGAUAUCACGAGGAACUCCGAUUGCGAAGGCAGCUUACUAUGCCUUUAUUGACACUGAUGCACGAAAGCGUGGGGAUCAAACAGGAUUAGAUACCCUGGUA
RNAcentral lists this ribosomal RNA (269 nucleotides) under uncultured prokaryote. RNAcentral's name for it is "partial 16S ribosomal RNA". It matches the Rfam family "Bacterial small subunit ribosomal RNA", at positions 524 to 792 of the family's 1533-position model. The record is from RNAcentral.